Melanotaenia boesemani (Boeseman's rainbowfish) is the source of this 88-nucleotide long non-coding RNA. RefSeq lists it as uncharacterized. The transcript has 3 exons. The record is from RefSeq and is a predicted model, not a curated record. NCBI's taxonomy places the organism in Eukaryota, Metazoa, Chordata, Actinopteri, Atheriniformes, Melanotaeniidae.
GAUCAGUCCCUCUCGGUUUGAUUCAAGACCACUGUUUAUAGACUACCACAUGUUGAGGCAUUUUUUGUUUUUCUUUUAUAUAUAUAUG